RNAcentral lists this long non-coding RNA (253 nucleotides) under Gossypium barbadense (sea-island cotton). RNAcentral describes it as "long non-coding RNA (GBAR_LNC008112)". The record is from RNAcentral. Lineage: Eukaryota; Viridiplantae; Streptophyta; Magnoliopsida; Malvales; Malvaceae.
UCACACUCACAAUAGAUACACGCAUACUUAUACAAUAACAUACAACAUGGAAAAAUUAGGUACUUAAACAUUCCUAACAUGUCAUGAUUAUGGCAAUUUCACAUGCAAUAGAUAUCAUAGAUUUUACUCACAUCUUUACCACAUUCAUACUAUAAUCAUUAUAAACUCAUCACAUAAUACCAUAGCACAUGCAUGCAUAAUUAAAAUAGAUUUACAACCCCAUAAUCAAAAUAGGCCAACACAUAUGGUUAAA